This 441-nucleotide ribosomal RNA is filed under the name Corynebacterium matruchotii. Its description in RNAcentral is "bacterial SSU rRNA". It matches the Rfam family "Bacterial small subunit ribosomal RNA", at positions 28 to 459 of the family's 1533-position model. Lineage: Bacteria; Bacillati; Actinomycetota; Actinomycetes; Mycobacteriales; Corynebacteriaceae. The record is from RNAcentral.
GACGAACGCUGGCGGCGUGCUUAACACAUGCAAGUCGAACGGAAAGGCCCCCACUAUUUUUGGUGGGGGUGCUCGAGUGGCGAACGGGUGAGUAACACGUGGGUGACCUGCCCUGUACUUCGGGAUAAGCUUGGGAAACUGGGUCUAAUACCGGAUAGGACCAUGGUUUAGUGUCUCAUGGUGGAAAGAUGUUUUUUUGGUGCAGGAUGAGCUCGCGGCCUAUCAGCUUGUUGGUGGGGUAAUGGCCUACCAAGGCGUCGACGGGUAGCCGGCCUGAGAGGGUGGACGGCCACAUUGGGACUGAGAUACGGCCCAGACUCCUACGGGAGGCAGCAGUGGGGAAUAUUGCACAAUGGGCGCAAGCCUGAUGCAGCGACGCCGCGUGGGGGAUGACGGCCUUCGGGUUGUAAACUCCUUUCGUUAGGGACGAAGCCAUACUUU